AACAGGUCUUCGGACGCUGACGAGUGGCGAACGGGUGAGUAAUGUAUCGGAACGUGCCCAGUCGUGGGGGAUAACUGCUCGAAAGAGCAGCUAAUAUCGCAUACGACCUGAGGGUGAAAGCGGGGGAUCGCAAGACCUCGCGCGAUUGGAGCGGCCGAUGGCAGAUUAGGUAGUUGGUGGGAUAAAAGCUUACCAAGCCGACGAUCUGUAGCUGGUCUGAGAGGACGACCAGCCACACUGGGACUGAGACACGGCCCAGACUCCUACGGGAGGCAGCAGUGGGGAAUUUUCCGCAAUGGGCGAAAGCCUGACGGAGCAAUGCCGCGUGAAGGUAGAAGGCCUACGGGUCAUGAACUUCUUUUCCCGGAGAAGAAGCAAUGACGGUAUCCGGGGAAUAAGCAUCGGCUAACUCUGUGCCAGCAGCCGCGGUAAG
Molecule: ribosomal RNA, 433 nt
Filed under: Klebsiella pneumoniae
Lineage: Bacteria; Pseudomonadati; Pseudomonadota; Gammaproteobacteria; Enterobacterales; Enterobacteriaceae
Description: bacterial SSU rRNA
Rfam family: Bacterial small subunit ribosomal RNA
Source: RNAcentral